GACGGGUGAGUAACGCGUAGGAAUCUACCUAGUAGAGGGGGACAACAUGUGGAAACGCAUGCUAAUACCGCAUACGCCUUUAGGGGGAAAGGCCGGGAUCUUCGGACCGGUCGCUAUUGGAUGAGCCUGCGUAAGAUUAGCUAGUUGGUAGGGUAAAGGCCUACCAAGGCGACGAUCUUUAGCUGGUCUGAGAGGAUGAUCAGCCACACUGGAACUGAGACACGGUCCAGACUCC
RNAcentral lists this ribosomal RNA (235 nucleotides) under uncultured bacterium. RNAcentral describes it as "partial 16S ribosomal RNA". It matches the Rfam family "Bacterial small subunit ribosomal RNA", at positions 102 to 339 of the family's 1533-position model. The record is from RNAcentral.